AGUGAACGCUGGCGGUAGGCCUAACACAUGCAAGUCGAACGGCAGCACAGUAAGAGCUUGCUCUUACGGGUGGCGAGUGGCGGACGGGUGAGGAAUACAUCGGAAUCUACUUUUUCGUGGGGGAUAACGUAGGGAAACUUACGCUAAUACCGCAUACGACCUACGGGUGAAAGCAGGGGAUCUUCGGACCUUGCGCGAUUGAAUGAGCCGAUGUCGGAUUAGCUAGUUGGCGGGGUAAAGGCCCACCAAGGCGACGAUCCGUAGCUGGUCUGAGAGGAUGAUCAGCCACACUGGAACUGAGACACGGUCCAGACUCCUACGGGAGGCAGCAGUGGGGAAUAUUGGACAAUGGGCGCAAGCCUGAUCCAGCCAUACCGCGUGGGUGAAGAAGGCCUUCGGGUCGUAAGGCCCUUUUGUUGGGAAAGAAAAGCAGCAGGUUAAUACCCCGCUGUUCUGACGGUACCCAAAGAAUAAGCACCGGCUAACUUCGUG
RNAcentral lists this ribosomal RNA (492 nucleotides) under uncultured bacterium. Its description in RNAcentral is "partial 16S ribosomal RNA". It matches the Rfam family "Bacterial small subunit ribosomal RNA", at positions 29 to 507 of the family's 1533-position model. The record is from RNAcentral.